GACAGAGGUGCCGAGCGUUAGGCGGAAUCACUGGGCUUAAAGCGUGUGUAGGCGGACCGUUAAGUACCUUGUGAAAUCCCCCGGCUCAACCGGGGAACGGCUGGGUAUACUGGCGGUCUUGAGCCAUCCAGGGGCGGUCGGAACAGACGGUGGAGCGGUGAAAUGCGUAGAUAUCGUCUGGAACGCCGAAGGUGAAAACAGACUGCUGGGGAUGCGCUGACGCUGAGACACGAAAGCCAGGGGAGCGAACGGG
Molecule: ribosomal RNA, 253 nt
Filed under: uncultured bacterium
Lineage: Bacteria
Description: partial 16S ribosomal RNA
Rfam family: Bacterial small subunit ribosomal RNA
Source: RNAcentral